RNAcentral lists this unclassified non-coding RNA (346 nucleotides) under soil metagenome. Its description in RNAcentral is "partial contains 5.8S ribosomal RNA, internal transcribed spacer 2, and large subunit ribosomal RNA". The stretch from base 1 to 120 matches the Rfam family "5.8S ribosomal RNA", at positions 35 to 154 of the family's 154-position model. The record is from RNAcentral.
GAUGAAGAACGUAGCGAAAUGCGAUAAGUAAUGUGAAUUGCAGAAUUCCGUGAAUCAUCGAAUCUUUGAACGCACAUUGCGCCCCCUGGUAUUCCGGGGGGCAUGCCUGUCCGAGCGUCAUUGCUGCCCUCAAGCACGGCUUGUGUGUUGGGCCCCGUCCUCCGAUCCCGGGGGACGGGCCCGAAAGGCAGCGGCGGCACCGCGUCCGGUCCUCGAGCGUAUGGGGCUUUGUCACCCGCUCUGUAGGCCCGGCCGGCGCUUGCCGAUCAACCCAAAUUUUUAUCCAGGUUGACCUCGCAUCAGGUAGGGAUACCCGCUGAACUUAAGCAUAUCAAUAAGCGGAGGA